GCGGUGUAUGCAUGGCAUGGCUCACGGCAUGGGCAAACGAAGGAUUCAAACGGGCACGGCUUACAGAGGGUUCGAGCGAGGCUGGUCCAGUCCAAGCUGAAACGAGUUUUAAUACACGGAACGGUACAAACGACAGUGGCUUAGACAUGCAAAGUGGGACGUACAGAAAUAAUGCGGCGUGGCAUUACACAGCAUAAUGCACGAACGGAAAAGCCAGCAAGGAAGCGGA
Molecule: long non-coding RNA, 229 nt
Filed under: Elaeis guineensis (African oil palm)
Lineage: Eukaryota; Viridiplantae; Streptophyta; Magnoliopsida; Arecales; Arecaceae
Description: long non-coding RNA (EGUI_LNC001977)
Source: RNAcentral